CCGGGAAUUUUCCACAAUGGGCGAAAGCCUGAUGGAGCAACGCCGCGUGUGCGAGGAAGGCCUUCGGGUUGUAAAGCACUGUCCUCGGGGACGAAGAACGACGGUACCCGGGGAGGAAGCCCCGGCUAACUACGUGCCAGCAGCCGCGGUAAUACGUAGGGGGCGAGCGUUGUCCGGAAUCACUGGGCGUAAAGGGCGUGUAGGCGGUCUGUUGCGUCGGGGGUGAAAUCCCCGCGCUUCACCCGGGGGGGUCCUUCGAAACGGGCAGGCUAGAGGGCGGGAGAGGCGAGCGGAAUUCCCGGUGUAGCGGUGAAAUGCGUAGAGAUCGGGAAGAACACCCGUGGCGAAGGCGGCUCGCUGGACCGUACCUGACGCUGAGGCGCGAAAGCUAGGGGAGCGAACGGG
RNAcentral lists this ribosomal RNA (405 nucleotides) under uncultured prokaryote. RNAcentral's name for it is "bacterial SSU rRNA". It matches the Rfam family "Bacterial small subunit ribosomal RNA", at positions 355 to 776 of the family's 1533-position model. RNAcentral also lists the same sequence under 1 other name. The record is from RNAcentral.